Molecule: ribosomal RNA, 495 nt
Filed under: uncultured bacterium
Lineage: Bacteria
Description: bacterial SSU rRNA
Rfam family: Bacterial small subunit ribosomal RNA
Source: RNAcentral
AUUGAACGCUGGCGGCAUGCCUUACACAUGCAAGUCGAACGGUAACAGGGAGCUUGCUCCGCUGACGAGUGGCGAACGGGUGAGUAAUAUAUCGGAACGUACCAUUGAGUGGGGGAUAACGUAGCGAAAGUUGCGCUAAUACCGCAUAUUCUCUCCGGAGGAAAGCAGGGGACCGCAAGGCCUUGCGCUCAUUGAGCGGCCGAUAUCAGAUUAGCUAGUUGGUGGGGUAAAAGCUCACCAAGGCGACGAUCUGUAGCGGGUCUGAGAGGAUGAUCCGCCACACUGGAACUGAGACACGGUCCAGACUCCUACGGGAGGCAGCAGUGGGGAAUUUUGGACAAUGGGGGCAACCCUGAUCCAGCCAUGCCGCGUGAGUGAAGAAGGCCUUCGGUUGUAAGACUCUUUCUAGCCGGGAAGAAAACGACCGAUUGGUUAAGUUACCUGAUGUGGAUGAGGUACCGGAAGUAAGAAGCACCGGCUAACUACGUGCCAGCA